This 24-nucleotide non-coding RNA is filed under the name Arabidopsis thaliana (thale cress). Lineage: Eukaryota; Viridiplantae; Streptophyta; Magnoliopsida; Brassicales; Brassicaceae. The record is from RNAcentral.
GAAGGUUCCCACCACUCUUAAUGU